GACGAACGCUGGCGGCGUGCUUAACACAUGCAAGUCGAACGGAAAGGCCCUGCUUUUGUGGGGUGCUCGAGUGGCGAACGGGUGAGUAACACGUGAGUAACCUGCCCUUGACUUUGGGAUAACUUCAGGAAACUGGGGCUAAUACCGGAUAGGAGCUCCUGCUGCAUGGUGGGGGUUGGAAAGUUUCGGCGGUUGGGGAUGGGCUCGCGGCUUAUCAGCUUGUUGGUGGGGUAGUGGCUUACCAAGGCUUUGACGGGUAGCCGGCCUGAGAGGGUGACCGGCCACAUUGGGACUGAGAUACGGCCCAGACUCCUACGGGAGGCAGCAGUGGGGAAUAUUGCACAAUGGGCGGAAGCCUGAUGCAGCAACGCCGCGUGCGGGAUGACGGCCUUCGGGUUGUAAACCGCUUUCGCCUGUGACAAAGCGUGAGUGACGGUAAUGGGUAAAGAAGCACCGGCUAACUACGUG
This 468-nucleotide ribosomal RNA is filed under the name uncultured bacterium. RNAcentral describes it as "partial 16S ribosomal RNA". It matches the Rfam family "Bacterial small subunit ribosomal RNA", at positions 28 to 507 of the family's 1533-position model. The record is from RNAcentral.